Small nuclear RNA from Otolemur garnettii (small-eared galago), 107 nucleotides. The record is from Ensembl. NCBI's taxonomy places the organism in Eukaryota, Metazoa, Chordata, Mammalia, Primates, Galagidae.
GUGCUUGUUUCAGCAGCACAUAUACCAAAAUUGGAAUAAUACAGAGAUGAUUAGCAUGGCCCCUGAGCAAGGAUGAUAUGCAAAUUCGUGAAGCAUUCCAUAUCUAA